This 39899-nucleotide long non-coding RNA is filed under the name Malus domestica (apple). RNAcentral describes it as "long non-coding RNA (MDOM_LNC018750)". Lineage: Eukaryota; Viridiplantae; Streptophyta; Magnoliopsida; Rosales; Rosaceae. The record is from RNAcentral.
GAGGGCAAUUGACCAAUCAAGGUCUGCAAUCAUAGUUCUUUCGACAAACUUUGCUUCUUCAAGUUGGUGUUUGCGAGAACUUACUCAUAUUGUUCGAUGCAUGAAAGAGAAAAAGAGAAUUUUUCCCAUUUUUUAUGGCGUGGAUCCUUCUGAUGUACGCCAUCAGCGAGGGAGUUUUGGGAAAGCCAUUGCGGAACAUGAAGUAAAUUAUCGAGAACACAUGGAGGAGGUAAAUGAGUGGAGAAAGUCGUUGAAAAGGGUGGCUAAUCUCGCUGGGUGGAAUUCAAAGGAUUAUAGGUAAGCAAGAGGCAACAACUGACGUUUAAGCUGAAGAAGACCAAUUUUUUACUAUUGAGUUUCAACGUUACCAUGCACUUUAUUUUACGAUGUGAUGAUUUUUUAUUUACGUUAUUUGUUCUUCUUGUAGGUAUGAUACAGAGCUUAUCCAAGGAAUCGUCAAUACACUAUGGGAGAAAGUGCAUCCUACGUUUUCAAUGUUAGAUUCCUCAGAGAGGUUUGUCGGAAUUGAUUCUAAACUGGAGGAAAUAGAUUUGCUUUUAGAUACAGAUGCAAACGAUGUUCGCUUUAUAGGGAUACGGGGGAUGGGUGGAGUGGGUAAGACAACCCUAGCUAGAUUAGUUUACGAGAGAAUUUCUGAUGAUUUUGAAGGUAGCAGUUUUCUUGCUAAUGUUAGAGAGGUCUGCAGAGCACAUGAUGGUGUAGCUCAUCUACAAAAGCAGCUUCUUUCUGAUAUCUUAAGGGAAAAUAACAUACAAGUUUGGAAUGCUUAUAGUGGAAUCACUAGGAUAAGUAGGUGUUUAUGCAGUAAAAAGGUUCUUCUCAUACUCGAUGAUGUGGAUCAAUUAGACCAACUAGAAAAGUUGGUCAAACAAAAAGAGUGGUUUGGUUUCGGGAGUAGAAUCGUCGUUACAACUAGAGAUGAACGUUUGUUAGUUGAACAUGGUAUAGAGAUGGUAUAUGAGGUUAAGCCAUUAACCCAAGAUGAAGCUUUUUCUCUCUUUAGUUGGAAAGCCUUUAAAGAUGAUGAGUUGGAAGAGGAUUUUUUAGAACUGUCUAAAUGUUUCAUCAGUUAUGCAAGAGGUCUUCCAUUAGCUCUUAAAACUUUAGGGUCUUUAUUGUACAAAAGAGGUCGAGAUGAAUGGAAGAGUGCACUAGAUAAACUGAAGCAAGCUCCAAAUAAGACAAUUUUUGAAACAUUGAAAAUAAGUUAUGAUGGACUAGAUGAGCUUGAGAAGAGAAUCUUCCUUGACAUUGCAUGUUUCCAUAAGUUUUGUGAAAGGGAGCGAGUAAUUGAAAGACUAGAAAACUGUGGCUUUGUUGGCACUCGCGUUGUGAUCCAAGUUCUUUUUGAGAAAUCUCUCUUGUAUAUUUCAUACAAGUCUGUGUCUAUGCAUGAUUUGAUACAAGAAAUGGCAUGGGAGAUUGUUCGACGAGAGUCUUACGAGGAGGCAGGUGGUCGUAGUCAGUUGUGGCUUCCUAAUGAUAUCUUGCAUGUGCUUGCAGAGAAUACAGUAAGAAGUUGCGUGAAAAUGAAAAUACCAAAGUUUGGAUAGGACACUAUAAUAAUAUUUAACAUGAUAAAAGACUGUAUUAUGAAAUUAACUAUUCCUUUAAUCUUAUUUAUCAGGGAUCAGAAGCAAUUGAAGGCAUAGUUUUACACUUAAGUGAAUUUGAAGAGGCACACUGCAAUCCUGAAGCUUUCACUAAGAUGUGUAACCUGAGGUUGCUCGACAUUCAUAAUGUGAGCCUUUCUAAGGGCCCCAAGUAUAUUCCGAAUGCUUUAAGAGUUCUCAAAUGGAGCUGGUAUCCCUCCAAAUGUCUCCCACCAAUUUUUCAACCGGAUGAACUUACAGUACUUAGUCUGCAGCAUAGCAAAAUUGAUCACCUUUGGAAUGGAAUAAAGGUAGAUGAUUGGACAACUGAAUUUUACUUUGUCAAUUACAAUAAUUGUAAUUUCUGGACAUGAACUAUUGUACCAUUUCAUUUUUGUACAGUGCUUGGGCAAUUUGAAGUCUAUCGAUCUUAGUUACUCCCACAACAUGACAAGGACCCCAGAUUUCACAGGUAUUAAAAAUCUCAAAGAGCUGGUUCUUGAAGGUUGUACCAAUUUAAUUAAGAUUCAUUCAUCCAUUGGGUUUCUCAGAAGGCUUAGACUUUUAAAUCUCAAAGACUGUAAAAGUAUUAAGAAUCUCCCAAACAAGGUAGAAAUGGAAUCUCUUGAAGUAUUUGAUAUUUCUGGCUGCUCAAAACUGAAAAAGAUUCCAGAAUUUGUUGGAGAAAUGAAAAAUUUCUCUAAGCUUUCUGUAAGCCGAACCGUUGUUCAGGAAAUACCUUCCUCAGUUAUACGUUGGAGUUUGGAGGGGAUUGAUUUAAGUGGAAUUACUUUGAGAGAGACGGAAUCCUCCCUGGUUUCAGUGAAAAUUUCUCAACUAACAAAUUUUCUUGGAUGUAAUGCACCACCAGCUAGAUCAUGGCUUUCCUUCAUUUUUGGCGAAUUUCCAACAAAGAUUUCUCACCCUGUGAGUCUGGUCUUAGCUUCAUUGAAAGAUUUAUGCUUUCUGAAGAAUUUAAAUCUGGAGGACUGCAAUCUUUGUGAAGGAGCAAUUCCCGAGGAUAUUGGUUUCUUGUCUUCUUUAGAAAAACUAAAUCUUAGCGGAAACCAUUUUGUUAGCCUUCCUGCAAGCAUCAGUGGGCUUUCUAAGCUGAUGUGUUUUGAAUUGCAAAAUUGCAAAAGGCUUCAACAACUGCCAGCCACUUCCUUAAACAGCAGAUUAAGUAUACACACAGAGAAUUGUACUUCCUUAAAAAUGCUCCGAUAUUUACCACAUGCUUGCAGAUCAAGCAAGUUUUGGUUGACUUCUGUCAAUUGCUUCAGUUUGGCUGGAAAUCAAGGUUGCAAUGCCAUAAUGCAUUCAAUGCUAAAGAGAUUCAUUCAGGUGUUUCUCUUUCUUCUAUCCCCCCCCCCCUCUCCUUAGUUGUGUACAUUUAUUUACGUUGUUCCUUAUUGCAGGAGCUCCCUCAUUUUGUGGAAUUUUUCAGUAUACUAAUUCCUGGAAGUGAAAUUCCUGAGUGGUUCAAUAACCAAAGCAUGGGGGAUUCGGUGAUUGAGAAGCUACCUUCGCAUUCAUGCAAUAGGGAGGGGAUGGGAUUUGCUUUAUGCGCUAUAUUUGCAGCUGCUGAAAGUAUUUCAGCUCCCACUUGUGGACGAAAAUGGCUACGACGUCAUGAAUAUUUAAUUGAAUUUCGUUGCAGUUUUGGUUCAAACAGCACCUUUCAAGACAUGCCUCAGACUAUUGGAAUUAUGGUUAACAAGGUAGUGUCAGAUCACCUCUGGUUGGUCUUUCUAUCUUGGAAAUUUCUUUUCCCAUCAGAUCAUCAACCUGAGAAAAAUCGUUGGGAGAGCUGCUGGAAUCAGAUUCAGUUUCAUUUCGAAACAGAAUGUGCUGUCGGAAGCAAGACAUGCUUGAAGGUGAAGAAGUGCGGAGUCCGUCCACUGUAUGAACAAGAUACAGAAGAAGAGCUGAACCGAACGACUAAACAAUAUUCCGACCGAAGCAUUUCUUUGUGUGAGGAUGUUACCAAUUGUGAUUUUGAGGAAUAAAAAACUGUACAACGAGACGUGAUUAAGCGAACACGUGAACAAUACAGUAAUGAAGCAGGACCCAGUGAAAGUGGAAGUUCCUCCAAAGACCAAGUUGAAGAGGCAUAGUAUGGCGAAAGAAUUGUUGGUGUGAGUUGACUUUUAUUGUAAUUAGGAUGAUCUCGUUCCCCGUUUAAGUUUGUAUAAUUAGGGUAAAUAUUAUUGCAUAUUCUUACCUUGUAAAUUAAAGUCUGUAAUAUAGAUAUUUGCCUCUUUGGUGAGGAGAAUAAUAUUAGACAAAUGAAAUCCCAAAACAAGCCUAAAUUAGCAUUAUAUGAGAACAGAGAUUCUAGGAUUUCUGCUCUACCUGUUCCCUUCAGAAAAAAUUUCUAAUCCCGAUCUUACCGUGAACUCGAUGACUCUACCAUAAGUUGUAACAUAAAUCGAUCGACCAUGAACUUGAUGUCUAAGUAAGAGUCACGAUCUAGACGGGUGCUUUGGCGAAUUUGGACACACCCACCUGGAUCGUGACUCUCACUUAGACAAAAAAUAGAUAAUUUUCAUUGUACAUUUUACUUUUCAAUACUUGUAAGAUACUUGUUAAAUACUUGGAUGAAUAGUUAUUAUAUGUUUGAUCCCCAUGUUUUCAAUAUAUUCUAAUAUUUUAUAAUAUAUAUGUCAUUUUACUUUACAAUUUAUGUUUCACAAUGCAAUUAUGUAUUUUUUUAAGUAUAAAUAGACAUUUAUAUGUAUACGUUAUAUAUUCCGCUUAGGCUGCUAGGCCCUAGUCAACCGUCUAACUAGCGCAUAGCAUCUUUUAAAACCGUCUAACUAGCGCAUAGCAUCUUUUAAAACAUUGGUAGUGUGAGGAAAAUUACGUAACAAGUGAAUUAUAUAACACUUCUACUUGGAACCUGCCAGCAUAUUAAUGUAAGGCCUCGUCCUUUCCGCUUUGCCACGUUUUUCUUCUUUCCCUCUCAUUGAUGGGUAUAUCUUAUAUAUAAAGCCAACAAGCCCAAUGAAUAGUGUUUUUUGGUGUCACAAGUUUCACCAAAAAUAAUUAGACAAAAAUGCCCCUCAAACAAAAAACUUUAAAAGCAAUCCAAAAUAAUGCAUCAAAUAUGAUAGUGUUGUAAACAUUCCUAGUUUAAGUAUGAUUGUGUAAAUCCUAGAUAAGAUUUGAUUCUAGUUAUCCUUUCCUAUUACAACUUGUAUUACUUGGAGGAGAAGAAAUAUCUUCUCUCCCUUUACUACUAUAAAUAAAGGCACAAUGUAGGAGGGAUAACAACACACACAUUCCCCUACAAUUCUACAAACACACAUCUCUCUCCUCUCUCUCUCUGCCGCCGGCCCUAGUCAAUCUGUCAGAUAAAAUAGACCACAACACGUUAUCAGCACGCUCCUACCGCUGCGCUUAGGAAUCUGACGUUGGAAAUUUUUUCUGCAUCAAACCAGUUCAUCCAUAUCAUCACGCAAUCAGGUUCUUUCCAAACAACGGCUUUUAACUCGAUAUUUUGCAAGCCCUGAUAGCAUGAACAUUCACCAUGAUGCAUGACCCAACUUUACGUUUUACGUAUUUUAGAUUCUACAUAAAUUGUGUAUGCUUCAUCAUCAAAAUUGCUACAAUUAUGUGAAUUUGAUAUUUGUCAUGAAUUGAAUCCUACAUAUGUACAUGCAUUGAAACUAUUAUUUGCAUAUGCAUCAACGUACAUAUGUGAUUCAUUGAAAUCCACAUGCAUAUAAUUAUAUUUGAAUUGAAAUUUUUUUUUUGCGAUUUGGGGAUUAGGGUUCUAGUCGAACCCGUGCCUUUGCACCAUGCAAGGCCGCAAGCCACCAGGCCCGCAGCCUGCGAUGGCCCAACCCAAACCGAGAACCAAGGCCGAAAGCCUUGAACCGAAACGGUGCGUUUGAAGCACCUUGUCCCGACCUACGGCCUGAAGCCUAGGUCCUCGCCGUCGAUUUUCCGACACAACACGACCUGCAGUCGUGCAAACUUGGACACCACCCAUCGUUUUCACCAACGAUUUCUAGAAAUUCCAGAAGAAUUUCAUGGGUCUUCACUCGAAUUCAAUUGAAUUCAUUCGGUUUUUUUUCUUCCAUCGACGUCGAGAUCUCUUAUUCGUCGACAAACACCUGGUUCUUCGACGAACCAUGGCUUGCUCGACCCUGGACACACCGCCUGCCAUGGCGCCGUCCACGAACUCCGGCUUUCUCUUCGGCAUCGCACACCCAGCCCGGCUGGGAUUUCUUUUGGGUCUCUUUCCCGAACCCUACUCGGGCUCUGUCUCUCGGCCCGUGUAACAAAAGAAAAAAAAUAAUUUUUUUUGCUGGGCUCGCUUGCAGCGGCCCAGCCCACAAAGAAAACAAUUUGUUUUUUUAUUUUCCUGGGCUCGCCUGCAGCGGCCCAUACCGAAAAAAAAAGAGAAAUUUUUCUUAGGGCUACACACAGCAGCCCAUUCCCUUCUCACCCCGUGGGCCUGCAGCCUACACCCGGGGGUCCUCGGCCUAUAUUUUUAGGCCCCGAGAUUUUAUUAUUUAAUUUUUUUUAAAUAAUAUGGGUUUUUAUAUUUUCACCCACACUUUAAUUUGGCCCCGAAGACCAAAAAUAAAUUAAUUCACUUAUCAUUAUACAAUAUUUCUGCAUAUAUUCUUUGCAUAUAUAUUUGUGUUUGCCUGCAGGAAUAUAUGAACCUGAAGUUCAUAAUUACUUUGAAACCCGAAGUUUCUUAUACACAUGCCUUGUUAGAAAACCCGAAGUUUUCACUUAAACAUAUCACCCAUGAAAACCCGAAGUUUUUCAUGCAAAAUUAAACCAAUACAUGUCUAUUAGAACCUGUAUGUUCUACUCCUAUGUGAAUGGAUUGAUUUUUCUCCAUUACACUAACCACAUCUUGUCCAUCUAUUUUGUGAUAGGAACAUGUCGAACUUGAACAAACUCGACUUCACCGCUUUGGAGGUUUCUGGAAGGAACUACCUCAAGUGGGUUCAAGAUGUGAAGCUCCACCUCACUGCAAAGAACUUGCGUCCUGCUAUUGAAGAAGCAACAGAUAAACCUGUUGAAGAGGCUGAAAAAGCCACUGCUAUGAUCUUCAUCCGAAGACAUAUCCAUGACGCUCUACAAACUGAGUACCUUGCUGAGGAGGAUCCACGUGCAUUAUGGGUCGCUUUGGCUUAUCGUUUCGAUCACCAAAAGGACAUAUUCUUGCCUGAAGCAAGACACGACUGGCAGCACUUGCGCUUCCAAGACUUUAAGUCUGUGAAUGAAUAUAAUUCUGAAGUUUGUCGAAUCCGAUCACUUCUCAAGUUUUGCAAUGAAACUUUGACUGAAGAGGAUCUCCUGGAGAAGACCUACUCGACCUUCUCUGCUUCUAAUAUUGUCCUGCAGCAAUAAUAUAGAGCUCAGAAGUUCACUAAGUUCUCGGAUUUGAUCUCUGUUUUACUUCUUGCUGAAAAGCAGAACCAGCUGUUGAUGAAGAAUCAUCAAGCUCGACCUACUGGGGCUACUGCUGUGCCUGAAGCACAUUAUAGCACUAAUCAGCACCCAAAACGCCAAAAGAGGCGUGGUAAGGGCGGCCAGAAGCCAUCCCACCAAGGUCAACAGAGCCAAGGCCCAUCCAAGGGAGGAAACAAAGCCCAGAAGCGCCCAAACCUCGCUCCCAAGGCCCCGAACUUCAAGAAUAAGGGCAAAGCACCUGCCACAAUGAAUGACGAUAUGUGCUAUCGUUGUGGUUCCAAUGACCAUUGGUCCCGUAUUUGCCGUGCUCCCAAGAAGGUUGUGGAUGCAUAUCAUUCUCGUCGUACGAAGUUUGAAUCAAACUUCCUGCAAGUGGACGAACCGGAGACUACAAAGAUGGAGGUUUCUGAUUUUCAGGAGGAUACUACUCUUAUGGAAGAUUAGAAUCUUAGACAUAGACUUAUUUUUCAGUUAAAAUAAGACAAUUGGGGCCGAAUUCCACCUUGUGGCCGAACCCCACCUUGUUUUUUGGUUGAUUUUGAACAAUUUUCCUUUAUGUUUUGGAUUAUUAGUUGGCGAUUUAUUUUGGAUAUUAAGUUUUUUCCUUGAAUAAAUGAAAUUAUUUUGAAUUGAUACUUGUUUUUAUAAACUUUUAUGCAUGUGACCGAUUCAAAUUAAUUUUUCAUUCUAGGUAUGACUAGUGGGAAAGUUAGUUGUCUGGCAGAUAGUGCAACCACGCAUACUGUUUUGCGUGAACGCAUCUAUUUCACUAACUUCGUACCUAAGAAUGCACCUCUGACAACCCUCUCAGGCCCAUCCAACCUGAUCGAAGGAUACGAUAAGGCAUGUAUAAUGUUGUCCAAUGGUACAAUCUUGACCAUUGCUGAGGCACUCUAUUCUCCACGUUCCGGAAGAACGUUACUAAGUUUCAAGGACAUUAGAGAUAACAAUUACCACGCUGAAACCCACGUAGAAAACGGAGUUGAAUUUCUGUGCGUAACUUCCUACGAAUAUGGCCAGAAGCGUAUUCUAGAGAAGAUGGAGCGUAACCCGAGUGGUCUGUAUACUACGACCAUACGCCCCAUAGAAUGCCACUAUGUGGCCGGCCCUACCACAGGGACCGCGCACGAAAUUACACUUUGGCAUGAUCGUUUGGGACAUCCUGGACGAAUAGCGAUGCGCUGUAUCCUCAAAACUUCACACGGGCAUCCACUAACCCGAAGCUUAGGUUCGAUCCAUGAAAUUGCAUGUCAAACAUGUUCUAUGGGAAAGCUUAUUACUAAGCCUUCUUAUGACAAGAUUCGUUCGAAUCCUCCCAUUUUUCUACAACGGAUUCAGGGGGACAUUUGUGGACCGAUUCAACCUCCAUGCGAACCAUUUAGAUAUUUUAUGGUUUUGGUUGACGCUUCUACACGUUGGUCACACGUGUGCUUGUUGUCCACAAGGAACGCUGCAUUCUCCAAACUGUUGGCUCAAGUUAUCAAGCUCAGGGCUCACCACCCUGAUUAUCCGAUCAAAUCUAUUCGAUUGGAUAAUGCUGGAGAAUUCACAUCUAAAACUUUUGAUGACUAUUGCAUGUCGGUUGGGGUUGAAGUUGAACAUCCUGUACCCCAUGUUCACACCCAGAACGGCCUGGUAGAGGCUUUCAUUAAGCGUUUACAAAUGAUUGCUCGAUCGUUGGUCAUACGUACCAAGCUCCCGAUCGCUGCUUGGGGCCAUGCAAUAUUGCACGCAGCAAAGUUGGUCCGCCUGAGGCCUGUUGCGACACAACCAUUUAGUGCCCUUCAGUUGGUCACCGGAUGCGAACCCGACAUAUCGCAUCUGCGCGUUUUUGGUUGUGCGGUCUAUGUGCCGAUCUCGCCGCCCUUACGUACAAAAAUGGGGCCUCAGCGAAGGAUGGGAAUCUAUGUCGGAUAUGAUUCUCCUUCGAUUAUUCGUUACUUAGAACCUUUGACAGGCGAUCUGUUUACCGCUCGUUUCGCGGAUUGUCACUUCUAUGAGACAGUCUUCCCGUCGUUAGGGGGAGAUAAGAACGUCAACGUUCCUAAUGAACGACGCGAAUUAUCGUGGACGACUCCCACUUUGUCUCAUUUAGAUCCCCGCACCGCUCAGUCUGAAGCUGAAGUGCAGCGCAUAUUAGAUCUCCAGAGCAUAGCUCAGAGCAUGCCAGAUGCUUUCACCGAUCUAGCGCGCGUGACAAGAUCACAUAUUCCAGCUGCGAAUACGCCUGCAAAGAUGGAUGUACCAAAUGUACGACGGACUACCCUCCUGGAAGCCCGGGAUGCCAAUUCUGGUGAUCCACGUACAUUAGCGGCUAGCCAAUCAUCUGCCCCUACACAAAAGCGUGGCAGACCCCUUGGUUCAAAGGAUUCACACCCCCGGAAGAGGAAAACCACGACACAAGGUCCUGAAGAGCCUACCGUGAAUCCGACUAUCGCUUACUCAUUUUACCCAACUCAUGAGGAAAUUCUAGAUUAUGGAAGCGUCCUUGAAGAGACGAAUCCUCCUCCCGAGAAUCGUGAGAUUUCGGUCUAUUAUGCUAGCUUAGAUGAUGUGUGGCGUAGAAAUGAGAUGAUUGUCGACGAUGCAUUAGCAUUUGCAGUAGCUACUGAGAUCAUGUUGAGCGAUGACAUUGAACCGCGUUCCGUUGAUGAAUGUCGACGUAGAGCUGAUUGGUCAAACUGGAAACAAGCAAUCCAAGUCGAACUUGAUUCACUUGCGAAACGUAAGGUGUUUGGACCUGUAGUUCCUACUCCUCCACAUGUGAAGCCCGUUGGCUACAAGUGGGUUUUCGUUCGGAAGCGUAAUGAGAAGAACGAAAUUGUGCGUUACAAAGCUCGUCUUGUAGCACAAGGUUUCUCACAACACCCCGGGAUUGACUAUGACGAAACUUACUCACCCGUUAUGGAUGUGAUUACUUUUCGAUACCUUAUCAGUUUGGUAGUUUCCGAAAAACUGGAUAUGCAGCUGAUGGACGUAGUAACCGCGUAUCUCUAUGGGGAUCUUGAUACGGAAAUUUAUAUGAAAGUUCCCGAAUGACUUACAUUGACUGGUUCAAAUAUUUCCAAACCCCGGAACACGCUCUCAAUUCGGCUGAGGCGUUCACUAUACGGUUUGAAACAAUCCGGAAGAAUGUGGUAUAACCGUUUAAGUGAGUAUUUGACUAGUCAGGGAUAUGUGAAUAAUGAACUAUGCCCUUGUGUGUUCAUUAAGAAGUCACAUUCCGGAUUUGCGAUUGUUGCAGUAUAUGUCGAUGACAUGAAUCUCAUCGGAACUCCUGAAGAGCUCGCGAGAACUGCUUCGCACCUGAAGUCGGAAUUUAAGAUGAAAGAUCUAGGUAAGACUCGAUACUGUCUCGGUCUCGAGAUAGAGCAUUGUUCGGAUGGAAUCCUAGUACAUCAAUCGAACUACACCCAGAAGGUGUUGCGCCGUUUUAAUGAGGAUAAAGCGAAGUCUUCGAGUACUCCUAUGGUCGUUCGUACGCUAGAUGCAAAGCGAGAUCCCUUCCGUCCGAAGGAGGAUGAUGAAGAGAUUUUGGAGCCUGAAGUUCCUUAUCUAAGUGCGAUAGGCGCUUUAUUGUACUUAGCUCAAUGCACUAGACCCGACAUCUCCUUCGCUGUUAAUCUUUUGGCAAGAUACAGCAAUGCACCAACACGCAGACAUUGGACUGGCGUGAAAUACAUCUUCCGUUACCUUAAGGGUACUACGGAUUUGGGCUUAUUCUAUCCCUACGAAUCCUCGAGUGAUGCCGCACCCUAUGCUCAUCGGGUUAAUUCUCGCCUUGUUGGUUAUGCUGACGCUGGAUACUUAUCUGAUCCGCACAAGGCGCGUUCUCAAACGGGUUAUGUCUUUACCGUUGGAGGCACCGCAAUAUCUUGGAGGUCAACUAAACAGACCUUAGUUGCCACUUCGUCUAACCAUGCUGAAAUUCUCGCCUUACAUGAAGCAACUCGGGAAUGCUUUUGGUUGAGAGCAGUAGUGGGCCAUAUUCGAAGCUCCUGUGAUCUUCAUCCCGCCGUUAAUGCCCCGACGACGAUUUUUGAAGACAACGCAGCUUGCAUCGAACAACUCAAGAAGGGUUACAUCAAAGGAGACAACACCAAGCAUAUUGCGCCGAAGUUCUUCUUUACACAUCAACAACAAGAGCAUCAGAAGAUUGAAGUCACGCAAAUCCGAUCACAAGACAAUCUGGCCGACCUCUUCACCAAAUCACUACCGAAGGCGACGUUUCAGAAGCUUGUUCAUGGAAUUGGUAUGCGUAAACUUUCUGAGUUGUAACUUUGCUAUUUCUCUGUGGAAUUAUGUCAAACUCAGGGGGAGUAUCUUCUAGAUACUUGCUUGAUCUUAAUGUACUCUUUUUCCCUACGAUUAGGAGCAUUUUUCCCACUGGGUUUUUGCUACCUAACUAGGUUUUAACGAGGCACCCACCUUGGGCUGGUCAUAUCCCUGAUGACGUCCUGUAGACGUUUCUUUUGACUUUGCAUUUCUCACGCAUUUUUCCUUAGACUAUGGAUUUUGUCCCUACUUGGGUUUUUGCCAUAGCCUUAGGGUUUUUUAGUGAAACUUACUACUUAUGCAAGUUCCUACCUUAUUGAGAAUAAGCGUUGUUCCUUGGAAUCAAUGUCGACGAGUCGACUUCCUCAACUUCUGCAUGAUGCUGAAUCUACCUUGAGUAUUUACCCACUCAAGGGGGAGUGUUGUAAACAUUCCUAGUUUAAGUAUGAUUGUGUAAAUCCUAGAUAAGAUUUGAUUCUAGUUAUCCUUUCCUAUUACAACUUGUAUUACUUGGAGGAGAAGAAAUAUCUUCUCUCCCUUUACUACUAUAAAUAAAGGCACAAUGUAGGAGGGAUAACAACACACACAUUCUCCUAUAAUUCUACAAACACACAUCUCUCUCCUCUCUCCCUCUGCCGCCGGCCCUAGUCCCUCUGUCAGAUAAAAUAGACCACAACAGACAUGAGUAUUUUCAUCAUUUUAACAGUGUUUUUUUAAUAAUUAAUUUUUUUGUACAAUUUUUUUAAUUAGUACCUCACAAUAGGCUAGCAAUAAUGUGAUUCAAGAUAUUCAUUAAAUAUUAUUUUCUCUAUCUUUAAACACGUUCAAAACAUUUUAAGAGCCGGUUAUAAAAAAGGUCUUUCGCACGCGAAUAAUAAUGUGAUUGAAUUAGUUGUCAAAUGAUUGUUUUUUUUAACAAACAAGAUUACCUACACUAAAGGGGAGGGGGAGGGCUUAGCCUCACAAUGGGUUAGCAAUAAUGUGAUUCAAUCAGUUGUUUAUUAAAUAUUAUUUUCUCUAUUCUUAAUGUAAAUUCUAUAGAGACCAAUUUCAUUAUGUGGAUUUAGCUGUUUUAAUUGAUUUAUGAGAGAUUUCUUCUAGCAUGAUCUAAGAUUAUUCAUUUACUUCCAAUAUUUAACUUUCCUUUUGUCAAUUUACGCAUAUAACGUGUAAAUCUUGCGUAACAUGCAAUGAUUAAAAAAAUGUAUUCUAUACGCGCGUGAGCGCAUGCAUAAAGGCUAGUUAGACCACUAAUUUCUCCUAUUUUUUCGUGAUAAAUGUGGAUUCUAUCCCAAUAUAUAAAAAGCCCUAUUGACCAAAUAACAUUAUGGAUCCGGUGUAGCAGUGUUUAACCAUGAAGCCCAUCCGACCGUCCAAUUAACAUCGAGUAUAAACAACAAACGUCUUCCUUUGCCAUUGGAUUCCACAAACAUAAGUUGAAUCCUCCGCCGUGAACGGGGUUUUUCUUUCUAGAGAUUAGUUAGAGUUCGUUUGGUACUCUACUUGAAUUCAACUUUUUAAACUCAAAAAUAAUUUUCAAGUUUUAAGGCUUAAAAACUUGUUUGGUAUGACUAUUUUAAAAAAUUGUACUCAAGUUUAACUAAAAAAUAUAGUCUAUUCUUUAAAAAUAUAAAAAAUGAGUUUUUAGAAUUUUUAAACUUAAACCCACUCCUUUAUUUUCUUUCCCUCCUCCCCUCUCACUCCAAAUCUCUCUUUUCUUUUUUCUCUCCUCUUUUUUUUUUACGUUUUUCGUCUCUCCUACAAUCUGGUCUUUUCAUUGUCUCGAUUCUUUCUCUCACUCUUCUUCCUCUCUAUCUCACCUGAUCCUCUCUCUUCUUUCUCUUUCCUUCAAUCAUCUCUUACUUUCUUUCCUCAUCUCUCCUCUCUCCUCCGACCCUCUCUUUUUAUAUCUGUUUGUCUAGUUUAAGUCAUAAGAUUUAAAAAUUUUAAAUCGCAAAUCAAUCAAGUUUUUUAAUCUUAAAAGAAAUUGUUUUCAAGAAUGUGAAAUGUUAAAAAUUUUCAAAUACAAAGCAGGCGCUUAGUUUGACAAGUUCGAAAUCGAAUUUCCGCCGGACUCAUAAUCUACGGUCAGUUUCGAUGCUGGCGAAAGGAAGAAAAGCUUCAGGGCGAGGAGAGGCCGUGGCGCCGAACUACGCGUUCGGGCCGCUCGAAGAUGACGUCAUCAUCAAACACAGACUUCUCACACGGACCACCACCACCACGAGAGGCGAACCGCCGUUGAAGAAGCUCCAGAAGAAAUUCACUUCCCUGUUCGUUGAGCUCGACAAGAACGAAGACAACUUCACCGACUGCGACAGGCUCGCCAAGGCUUUCCUGCAGGUGCUCAACACGUUCGAGAUUCCGCUCCUAAAGAGCAAAGCCGUCGUGGAUGCAAAUCUCCGGGAGAAGCACAAUUUCGAUGAGCUGAGGGAGGAGAUUAACCGGCAGAUUGUACAGGCGAAGACUGACAUUCAGAUACUGAAGAAGCAGCUCGAAUUUCAAUUUGCUUAUCUCCAUGUCUUGUUCAAUGCCAUUAGUUCCUAGGCACUCAUUGAAAGGGGCUUGAAUUUCAAUUUGGAAAGCUUUCUAUUAUUUGUAGAGCGUGUGCCAUUCAAAUUGUUAAGUAGAUGUCAAGGAUUGCAAGGUAAGUGAAUGUGACCCUUCUAUCACCAACGGGUCCGUUGUAAAUUUAGUCAAAAGGACUCCACGAAGAACACCGGAGCUCCCCGAGCUCCGAUCAACCCCAAAACCUAGACAUAUUAUAUACCAAAUUGAAGCUACGGAGGAGAGGAGUAUAAAUAUACCAAUAUUUGGCCCUGAAGUGGCCGGAAAACGGCUCAAAAGCCGUCGGGCCCUCGCCGGAAAACUGAGUUUCUUGCUUUCUCUGUUCCUGUGCAAAUCCGACGUUUAAAUCGCAAACUCUAGGUUAUAAUUAAACCACCAUGACGAAAAUGAAAGAAUCUUAAGCAUCCCGAGGCUUACCCAGGUCGGAGCACCAUGAAAUCUCACCGGGAAGUAUGGCGAUGGUGGCUGCCAUUGCUGCAGCUGUGCCUCGAGCACAGAGGAGAGAGAGAGAGCGGGACGAGGGGAACGGGGAGGUGCAGGGUAGACAGUUAUGGUUGUUGGUAGCGGUGAAGCUCGCCGGAGGGGCGAGGCGAGGUGGUGCCUCGGGUCGUUGUUGUUGCAGGGGGAUGAGGGAGAGAGACGAGGGAGAGUGUUCCAGAGGGUUCCCGAGAGAAUAGGAAGAUAAUUGACACGGGGAAGGAAGGGAAGUCCCCACGGGCCACAAAAUAAAAUAAUAUAAAAUAUUUAAAAUAUCUAAUUAGAAAACAUUUAAAUAAUAUACAAUAAUAAUAUAAAGAGUAAACUGUCAUUUAACCCCCUAAACUAUCAUGUGAAUUUCAAUUUCCCCCCUGAACAAUUUUUUCAGCCAAUUGACUCCCUAAACUAUGUUAAAGUGGCCAAUUAACCUCCUACCGUUAAGCAUCUUUAACUCCAUCCAAUUUUCUGUUAGAAAGUGUCAUUUGCUUGGCACAUGACCACCUUUUUACAUUUUAUGUCUAAAUCUUUACAAAGAAAACAUAUAAAACAAUAUUAAAAAAACAUCCAAACCCUAAACUUAAUCAUUCAAAAUAAUAGAAAAGGUAAGGCUUUUUAUAUUAACAUCCCACAAAAUGUUGAAUGUACACCAUAUUAAAAUUUAAUAUUAAAUGACUUAUGUACUCCACUAUGCAAUGACAAUUUUGACCUUAUUAGGUUUUUUAAAAAAAAAAUUUAUAAAUACACCCCAAAUCACUUUUAGCGUAUUAUUUAUCUUCUCAACUAUCAAAACCCUCUCAUCCUCCAUUGUUGAACAAAAUCCUAACCAAUGAAACUACAAACAUGUUGAUUGAGAAAAAUUGUUUUUGACGAAUGAAACACGAAAUCGAUGUUUCUGAAGCUUUACAUGAGGUAAGACUUCACAUUUUUCAUUGUUUUAGUGAUGUUGAUGCACAAAAUCAGCGAGGACUUUGGUACAACAGAAAGUGUCAGGUUUGUGACCUUCGCUUGGUUGCUUCGAUCACUAGUGAAGAUAAGUACGUAAAUGAAUAGGGACAGGGAAGCAAACACAAGAUGUACGUGGUUCAUCCAGAUCGGCUACGUCUACGGAGUAGAGGAGUUCUCAUUAAUUGUGAAGGGUUUACACAAAUACAUAGGUUCAAGCUCUCAUUUUAUGAGUUCUAGUGAAUAGUUUGGUACAAAAUGACAUUAGAGAUUAUUGUGGGAGAAUGAUCCCUAUUUAUAGAAGAGAGUUUCUAGUUUUGUUCUAAUAUUGACACGUGUCGUGUUGUGAUUGGCCUCUGAUGUUGACACGUGUCGCGCUGUGAUUGGCUUCUGAUGUCGACACGUGUCGCAUUGUGAUUGACCUCCUGAUUGAAGGGAAACUCUUUUGGGUCCUUGACGGUAUAACGUUGACUGGUGCUCAGUAGUUUCGGGAUUAGUCAAGUAUGGUACAAACAGUGCUCCCCUAAGUUCCCGAGUGAGGGAAACUCCUCGAUUGGGGACUUGCAAGAUCCAAGCCGCUGAGUAAUCACGAAACUUCUAAGUACCGAGGUGUGGUAUCGUCUUCACUUGCCUUAUCUUUCUCUCAUAGGUAGAUGUAUGUGGCAUCUUCUCUGGAAGUACGCUUCCUCCAUCCAGGGGUGGUAUCUUUAACCGAUGAAGAUGCACAAGGUAAUGUAUCAAUUUCACUUGAAGCUUACUUGUAGUUUCGGGCUUGGUCAAGUGCGAUACAAACCCUAUAGUAGGAGUCCCCCAAGUCGCCGAGCUAGGAGAUCUGCCGAAAGAGGUGACAGACAAAGGUAACAGACAAGGUACAGCAGUCAAACUUCCAAGCAAGCAACCCAGGAUCAGAGGUUUGACUUCGGCUUCCGGUUGAUUGUUCUCCUUCUCCUUAUCUCUCAUUCAACUGCCAGGAUAAGGAGAAGCAAAUGGAUAAGAGAUGAUAUGAGAUACUUUUUCUUUUGAAGAAGUAACUUUCCACAGGCUUAUUCUUGAACUGUGCUGGAGGGUUUUCUGGUUCCCUCCAGAGUAUAAGGCCGACUCAAGAAUUUGAGGGUCAAAACAAGUCCAUCAAAUCUAGAGUACGUUCGACCUUGAUGAUAUGGGAUACUUUUGCUGUUGACGGAAUAGUGAAUGUGGUAUGGAAAUGUGUCGUGUAGUGAUCUGUUUCAGCUCAUCAUUGACCCUUCUGCUUCAAUCUUUUGCAUGGUAGAAGUGGUGUGCAACCUUUGCAUUUAAAUGGUCCUUCAGAACAUUCCUUCAUAGUGACUCAUCCACGCUUGGCAACUUUAGUGUAAAGAGCCAAUAUCUGAUCAACUGUCAUGAGGUAUUUGCUGGUGGAAUUCGUGACCUUGACAGCAGUUGAGGAUGAGUACUCGAGAGCAAUGCUAAGUAAGCAACCAGACAAAGGUUCCAGGCAGUCAGUUCCAGAUUUGAGGUUUGAUUUCAGGUUCCGACUGACUGCUCUCUUUCUCCUUGUCCUGCAGGUGUGGACAAUGACAAAGACAAAGACAGGGAGAAAGCAUGAUAUGAGAUACUCUUGCUUUCGACCCUGAUGAUAUGAGAUACUCUUGUUCUUGGUGUGGCUUAUUUUCUUAUUGCUGAGGUAUUAUCGGGGGAAAUAAAGCUGAGUAUUUCGAGAGGUUAUGUUGAGGGUGCCUUCUCGAAUGCGAGAAAUGGUUGAGCAUUUUUGCAGGUGUCUGCUAGUCUGUCUCGUCCGUGUAGGAGGAGGGGUCAGGUCGACAUAUAUAUAGAAAAUUUCUCAAUAGCAAGUGGUAAUGCUAUUCCUUUACCAUUCUCGGUCACAGCAAUGUAGUGGGAGCUGUCAGCUUCACGUGUUUUAACUUUGUCAGAGCAUUUUGAAAAAGAUGUACGUGGUAUCUGGAAAGCUGAUGUUGCGUGUGAAGAUUACAGACAAGCUUUAUCUAAGGAAAUCUGGCUCUCGAAGUUCUGAGAGCUGUGCCUCUUCGAUUUUCGAACAAGCAAUCCCGUCGGGGAUCUGGCUCUCGAGAUUCAGAAAGCGGUGCCACUUCGGCUUUUAAGAGAGUAAUUAUGUUGGGAGUCUUUUCUCGAAUGUGAGUAAAGGUUGGACGUUCUUGCCAGUCUGUCUUGCCACAGAACACGGAGGUCGACACACAUAGGGACUUUCCAGUUGUCAAGCAGUGGUGCUGUUCCUUUACCCUUGUGGGUAAUAGUAGGGUAGCUGGAACUUCGAAAUUCUCGUGCCUAAAUUUUGUCAGAGAUCUUUGGCAAAGUUAUAUAUGGUACCCGAGGAGUUGAUGGUGCGUGUGGAGAGUGGUGAUUGAACAGUAAGAUUCACGUGCUUUCUACUUCACCAGAAAUCUUUGACAGAUUACCCGUAAUUUCCGCAAAGCUGAGUGUGCAUGUGACAGGUGCUAACGAGGCUGAAAAAGCAGGUGCUUCUUCGAUUUCUGAUAUCGGCCCUCGUGGUCUCUAAGCAGCCCAACUUUUGAGAAAGCAAGCGCCUCUUCGAUUUCUGAGAUCGGCCCUCGUGCCCUCUGAGCAGCCCAGCUUUUGAAAAAGCAAACACCUCUUCGAUUUCUGAAGCUCCGUCGAUUGCAGAUAUUUAUAGAGGCUGGCAUUAAGUUCCACAGCACACUUGAAUCUCCACCAGUAGAAGCUCCCUUCUUGCACUUCUAAAAUCUUGAUUUGUCUGACAUCUUCCUUCUUCAACACCCUUGAAAAUGUCUGGCCCCUCCGACCGUCGUUUUGACUUGAACCUUGGAGAAGAGACAGCCACGCCUUCUCCAGACAACAUAUGGCGCCCAUCUUUCAUAUCCCCUACUGGUCCUCUUACUGUUGGGGAUUCUGUGAUGAAGAAUGAUAUGACCGCUGCGGUGGUGGCCAGGAACCUUCUCACUCCCAAAGAUAACAGACUAUUUUCCAAACGAUCUGAUGAGUUGGCUGUUAAGGACUUUCUGGCUCUUGGUGUUCAGUAUGCAGGUUCUGUGUCUAAUAUGGUCCAACGCCUAUUUGCUAGAACCCGCCAAGUUGAAUCAUUGGCUGCUGAAGUGAUGAGUCUCAAACAGGAGAUUAGAGGGCUCAAGCAUGAGAAUAAACAGUUGCACCGGCUCGCCCAUGACUAUGCUACAAACAUGAAGAGGAAGCUUGACCAGAUGAAGGAAUCUGAUGGUAAGGUUUUACUUGAUCAUCGACGGUUUGUGGGUUUGUUCCAAAGGCAUUUAUUGCCUUCGUCUUCUGGGGCUGUACUUGGUAAUGAAGCUUCAAAUGAUGAACCUCCAAUGCCUCCUCCUUCUGGGGUUUUGUCAAGUACUGAGGCUCCGGAUAACCACCCUCCGGUGCUUUCUCUUUCUGGGGCUCUACCGACUGCUGAGACUUCCCCUAAGCAAUCUUUAUGAAGGCUCCCUCUUGUUUGUUUAUUUUGACUCAUGUACAUGUACAUAUUUGUAGCUUAUCGGAAGUAUUAAUAAAUAAGCUUUGCUUGAUUUCAACGUAUUGUGUUAAAUACACCAAAGCCUUCUUCAAAAAGUUCUUUGAAUUUUUUCUUUUGUUGAAACUUGUGUAUUGUUGAAGUUUUGUGAGUGAAGCAUGUAGUUUAAGGUAGUGUUCCCUUAAUUUCCUGAGUGAGGAAAACUUCUCGGUUGGAGACUUGAAAAAUCCAAGUCACUGAGUGGUUGUGAGACUUCCGAGUAUCAAGGUGCAGUAGCAUAUGGUGGGAGUCCCCCAAGUCUUCAGGCGAGGAGAGUUGCCGAAUGAGGUGUCUUGCUUGCUACUAAUUUGUCAAAGUAACGAAGCCUUGUUUUGAUGUCAUACCUUCAUAUAUGCCUUAUCCAAAAAUAUUUCAAGCUAGGUUUAGCUUUGGGAGGGCCCAAAAUUUUUGUGUAGCCCAAAACUGCUCAUUUGUUUUCAAGCCCACGAAAAGAAGGGAUCCAGUGCCUUUGUUCAUUUUUUAUUUGUGUGGCAAGCCCAAAGAGGAGAACAGGUUUGUGCCCACUCCCCUUUAUUUAUUUUUUGUGAAGCCCAAUGCUUUCUUGCUUCAUAUUGGGAGGUAGAGAAAUAAUAACAAUGAGACUCAAAGUCUCAUCCCUUUGCCUGUGUCUUCUUCCCCAUUUCCCUGGACUUUGCUCAAUAUGGCACUGUGCAUUUAUUCCUUUUGUCCGUCACUUUUUGUGGCUUUUAGCUAUUCUUUUGCUUUGCCUUUUCCUUUCUUUGCUGGAAAGGUCUUCAUGUCCCCGUAAAAAUCUGAAUUAUUCCAAAGCCAUGAUGAAGGAAAGUGGGUGUUGGAGCCAAGGAAGUGAAGGAAGGAGUUAACGUAGAGGGCGCGGUAGCUCUGCAAGAUAACACCAUUCUCUGUAGCUCAAAUCGCAAGGUUGUCUUCAUGAAAAUUGUUCCUUAGCUUGUGAACUACAACAUAUCCAAAUUUGAGAGCCAUCGGAGUAGUACAACUCCAGAUAUUCAGGUAUGGUGAGUAAUUGUUCAUCAUUUUUCUGUUAACCCGUCAGACUUAUUGUGAGCUUUGAAACUUCAUUUUCCCUUAUUCAGAUCAACAUACUUUCUUCAUUGAAGUUGUUCCUAACCUUGUGAACAACAACAUAUCCAAAUUUGAGAUUCAUCGGAGUAGUACAACUCCAGAUAUUCAGGUAUGAUGAGUAACUGUGCAUCAUUUUGCUGUUAACCCGUCAGACUUAUUGUAAGCUUCGAAACUUCAUUUUGUCUUGUUCAGAUCAACAUACUUUCUUCAUCAAAGUUGUUCCGCAUCACCUCUUCCAUAACAUAUCAAAAAUUCAGAACAAACUAACGGUUGGAUAUUUCCAGAUCUUCGAAACACCGCAGCAGCGUUGAAGCUUGCAGAAAUCUGACCGUCAUGGUUGGAGCUUCAACACUCUAACUUCCGUCGCUCAAAUGGAAACAUUUCCUUCGUGAAAGUUGUUCAUCUGCUCAAGAACUUCAUUUGCUCAUCUUGUAGUGAUUUUUGAAGACAGAGUGCUUUUUACUUGAGAGGGAUUCUAGCAUUGCUUUGCUGCACCAUCUUCAGGUUGGUAGUCUUCUCCACUACAUUGGAUGUUUUCCUUUUUGUUGAAUUGUUGGAAUGUUCAUGUAUUUUGUGAAGAACAUAAUGAACUGGUUGAGCUGUUCUUCAUGCCCUGUGAGCUUCCUUACGUUUUGAUCCUUCAUGUAGUGAUAGAGUUUGUUUCUGUUUGUUGUAGAUGUCGGAGUCUGGAAGUCUAAGUGAUGAGGGCUCCCCUAGCUCGGGCUUUAGGUUUGAGCCUUUGUUAGAGUCUUGUACAAAAGAAACGUUAGAUGAUCCUCACAAUUGUCAAACCUUAGCCAAUAUUGGUUCUUCCUCCAUGUUAGUGGGUGAGGGGGUUGUUUGUGACGCCAUACCCAUAUGUCGUUCUGAUCCUCACAAUUGUCAAACCUUAGCCGAGAUUGGUUCUUCCUCCAUACGAGUUGGUGAGGGGGUUGUUUGUGAUGCCAUACCCAUAUUUCGCUCUGAGUUCACAGCGGACCAUUUAGAAAAUAACUUGUUAGAUAACGAAAAGCAGCUUGAGGCCCUAAGGCAAUCAUGUAGUAUCCCCCGUAGUGUAGGAAUACGUUUGGUGCGUUGUGAAGAAUUGCCUUCGGAGCCGCCCAAGGGUCAUGUUAUGUUCUAUACCCAGACAUUAGUGACCUUGGGGGUAAAUUUACCUUUGCAUCCGUGGUUGCAACGAAUGCUGUCUUUUAUUGGUUAUGCAUCUGGGCAACUCAACCCUGGUUUAUGGGAUACCUUGAUCGGGUUUUAUAUUAUUUGGAUGGAGUGUGGAUUAGGUGAGCCUUCCUUCCAUCAGUGGCGCUACUGUUAUAAGAUGCGCCCGGUGAAAGCAUGUACUGGUUACGCCAAAUGUGCAUGUCGGAGCGAGAGAGAGCGUGUUGUCUUUAAUAAGAGAAAGGCGUACUGCACAUGGAAGAAACGUUGGUGCUUUCUUUAUAAUGAUUGGGAGCAUGCUAAGGGUGUCACGCCUGAGCGACGUGUUCCUACUCACUUCCAGACUGUAGGUUAUAAUGUAUCCAUUUUCUCAUUAUUUGCUAUUGUUGUGAUUUGCUCUUGCUUCUAAGAUUUUUCUUCAUGCAGUGACACGAGGCACCAUCAAACUCUCCGGACAGGAGCUAGCUGAUGUAGAGAAAGUGUUGAGGGUGCCCAAAGAAGAUAGACACUUGGGUAAGCUACGACCCUUGUUUCGAAAGUACGGUUUCCAGCCCUUAGUUUCCGAGUGCCAGAGACGAGCGAGUAAGUUGUAUCCUUCACUUGAUCCUUGUUCUUCCCUUUUUUUUUUUAUAUAGAUAUAUAAUGUGGUAUUUCUUACUUUGAUUUUCCUUGUUCAGUGGAGAAGGUGGGCAAGAAAGUGGAGACUAGCACCAAGAAAAGGAGAGUGCCCAUGUUAGUUCCUUCAGAAGACAUCAUGUUUCACAAGGAAGCUCGCAAGCAUCGAUUGAGACCAAUCAUUAAAACUAAGUCUUGAGAAGAAGUCCUCAAGGUUUCUGCCUCGAAGAAAGCUGAAGUUGAGGCCAUUGGAUGUGCUGCUGCCAUAGUUGCCGGGGAAGAUAGGCGAUUGCUGUCUCUUCUUCCUACUAUUAAUCCCAUCUUUCCUCCAGUUAGGGAGCAUAUUGGGCAGGAAGGUGAUCCUAGUUCUAGCAGCAAGGGUAAAGAUAAGGAAGAGGUUGGCAGUGUCCCUUGGAAGGAUUUGAAGGUUGCCAUGCGGCCAAAGGACUUUGGGUAUAUCAACAAUUGCCUAGCAGGGCGUCGAUUCACUUUCGAUGAGCUCGGAGAGCCCUUAGCUAAAGAUGAAUCGAAUUGCGACCGGAUGUUGAAGCUGUCUUCAUAUGUGAGUGUUACUUUGUCAUUUCCUUGUUUUCUUCUCUUUAUUAGCAUUAUUUUAGUAGUGAUGAUCGUCUUGUCAUGCAGGUCAUGGCUGAGUAUCACGACAAACUGCGAGAGGCUGAACGGUGCAAGGUGAAAUUGAAAGAGAAUAAACAGCUCGUGAAUGAUGCCAGGAAGACGAGUAAAGCUUUGGCUGAGGCCAUCCAAGUCAAGGAUCAACAUUUUGAGAGUUUGAAGAGGCGGAAUGGUGAGAACUUGAGACUCAAGGUACAGUUGGAGGCGACUAAGAAACAGUUGGAGACAACUAUGCUCGAGGUUUCCAAGGUUAAAGGGGAGUUGGAUAGUGCCUUGGUUGAGGUUUCUGAGCUGAAAAGUAGGAUCCCGACUGAGAAGGAAGCUGCUGUGAAGGAGUUCUUGGGUUCCCAGGCCUUUCUCCAUGUCCUUAGACCUCGCUGUACCCGGGAAGUUCAUUUUGAAAAAGAAAGUGGAUGGCUGUCCUUGAUCGUUAUGAUGAUGGAAACGUUUUUCGAAAAUACCGUGAAGAAAUAGAUGAACAUCAUCGAAAAGGUGAAACCUUCGACCUUGCAGUUUAUUAUAGCAGUGCAGAUGAGUUUGGCGAUGAGGCUAGUGCUGAUGAGCAGAGUCAUCAGGGUGAUGAUGAGUUUGGAGAUGCAGAAAAUGACGGUAGGACUCAGAGUGAUAUGAUCAGGGGUUCAACCUCAGAUGAGUAUGACUAGACGUGCUUUCACUUUCUGCAUGUACUCUACCUGCACUAGUUUGUUGUUUGUAUGGCAUGUGCCAUGUUAUAAGCUUGAGGGUUUUUUUUUUGUUUUUUGUUUUUUGUUUCGUAUGUUUAUGAGUGUUUGCAUUAUCAAGCUUCAAGUGUUUGUAUUAUCAAGUUUCAAGUGUUUGCCCUAUCAUUGAUGAAUGUUUGGCUAUGUUUGCAUAGAUCCUUUAUAUAGUCUUGUUGACAUAUACUUAGAUUUUAUUUUGUAUUGGAAACAUGUGCGUUGAAGCUUCAACACUUGAGUGUUUCAUUGCUCAGAAUGUAAAAGAGUUUAGGGCCGAGUUGGCUAAAUCACCUCUUUAUUGAAUUCAUACCAAAUGGUCUUUGUUACAUAGGAUGCCGAACGACUGUAGCUUAACACUUGUACAAUGUGAGUCUAUUUGUAAUAGUACUUCAAGUGGUCAGCAUUCCAUGGAUGGCCAAGGGUUUUUCCGUCAGAGCUUCUGAGCUUGUAGGAGCCAGGGCGGCUGAUGCCGACGACCUCGAACGGUCCGUCCUAGUUAGGACUGAGUGUUCCUUCACUCGGGACUCUAUCACAGAGUAAUCUUUUCUUCAGUACCCAGUCUCCCGCUUUGAAAGAGCGAUGUUUGACCCUUGAGUCGUAGUAGUUGGAGAUGCGCUGCUUGUAGGCGACAUUCCUCAGGUGAGCCUGAUUUCUGUGUUCCUCGACUAGAUACAGGUUGAGGGUGAGUUGCUUGUCGUUCUCACUCUGUAUGUAGUUCUGGAUUCGGUAUGUUGCUUGCUCAAGCUCAACUAGAACAACUACUUCUGUACCAAAAGCAAGUGAGAAUGGAGUUUCUCCUGUGGAAGUCCGAUAUGAAGUGCGGUAUGACCAAAGAACUUGGGGUACGAAUUCUGGCCAACAACCUUUAGCUUUGUCCAAGCUAGUUUUCAGAGUGCGCUUGAUUAUUUUGUUAACGGCCUCGACUUGUCUGUUAGACUGGGGAUGGGCUGGAGAGGCAAAACAUAAGUUGAUGUUGAACUUAGAGCAGAACAUCUUCAACUUCUUGUUGUCGAACUGCCGCCCAUUGUCCGUGCCUAUCGCAUUGGGAAUGCCGAAUCUGCAGAAGAUGUUCUUCCAUACGAAGUCUUCUAUUUUUCCCUCAGUAAUGGUUGCCAAGGGUUCUACUUCAGCCCACUUUGUGAAGUAGUCAACUGCAACGAUUGCAUAGCGGACCUUGCCUUUCCCUGCAGGCAUUGGGCCGAUCAAAUCAAGUCCCCAUUGGGCGAAGGGCCAAGGGCUGAUCAUAGGAGUGAGCAGCUCGGGAGGGGAGUGAGGGAUAGUUGCGUAGCGUUGACACUUAUCACAUGAGCGAGAUAUUCUGAUGGCAUCUUGGUGGAGUGUUGGCCAAUAGUAUCCUUGGCGAAAAGUCUUGUGUGCUAGGGAUCGAGACCCAGCAUGAUCUCCGCAGACUCCUUCAUGUAUUUCCCGAAGGACAAUUUCUGCCUCCGCAGGUGUAAGGCAUCUUAGGUAUGGCAGGGUGAAACCGCGCUUGUAGAGUUGGUCAUUAAUGAUCAGGUAGCGGGCAGACUUGUAUCGAAUCUGCUUAGCUUGGACUUUGUCAAUUGGGAGGGUGCUAUGAGCAAGGAAUUUAUAAAUUGGGGUGAUCCAACUAUCUUCUUGUUGUAAAUUGCACACCUCCGCGACCAUGGUGCUUGGUUCUGCCAACAAUUCGACAUGAAUUUUUCUCCCAAUCUUGUCUUCCACUGCCGAGGCGAGGCGAGCCAAAGCGUCUGCAUGACUGUUUGCCGCUCGAGGAACUUGGGUGAUCUGGGGUGUUUAUUCCUUACUUUUGCAGUGUCCUCAUAUGCAUUCCUUUUGCUUUCCUCUUUUCUGUUUUCUGAAAUAUUCUCCCAACGACAUGAUCUUUUUCCUUUUCUGUUCCUUUCUUUGAUCUCUCCACCGCCAGACACACUCGCUUUUGCUUUUACUUUCCCUUUUCUUUCUCUUUUCCUUUUGCUUUGUCCGCCACUACCUUUCUCUUUCGGCCUGGUUUCUGCUGGGACCUUGUCCCCAUCUCAAUUCCAACCACAGCAGACCACUGGAAUCUUAGAUUGGACGAAGUAGAAGGGCAGGGUCGAUCUUCACAGAAAAACGACAUCGUUCGGCCGCGCCGAACAGAGGAGACGGGCCAUGAGAUUAACGGAGGCAAGAUUUGGGGAGAAUAAGAGAAUAAGCAGAUAAAGGGAGAUGAAGUGUGGGUUGCAGAGAGGUGGAUGUUCUUCAAGAAAAACUAGGCUGCCACAGCAUCAUUUGUCCCUUGGAACCAUAUAAUGGGUUGCUUCCAUUCUAUGCAGUUGCUACAAAGAACAUUGGUCUGUGCCGGCUUCUUAAAGUCAUCACUUCUCAUAACCAGUUGCCUUCCAUUCUUGUUUGCACAUUUAUUAAGUCUCCAAAGAUGCUUAAUUUCUCUGAUGGUGAAGGAAAAAAUUGGAAUAGGAAGUUGCCUUCCUACAAAUCUGUGCUGACAAAACUGUUCCGGUGGAAGAUUUCUUACCCUGGAAGCACCAUUCAAGUCAAAGUGAUGCUGAAUAAACUUCCUGACUCUGAGACUCUCAUCCCAAAACCCUCCUCCUUCGAACUUCUUUCCCAUCUCCUCCACCGUCGCGCACGAGCUCGAAUUUCGCUUACUCUUGCUCUGCGGCUCCGUCUCCAGCUCAAAUCCGUCGCCGUUUUCAGACUUUGAAUCCAAAUUUCCAAUCUGCAUAUAGAAAUCGGGGCUCGUCGGAGGAUCGACUUGUCGUAAGUUGAGCAUCAACAGCCCCGUUCCAGCACACAACGCACAGACUAUCAGAAUUGAUCCGACGGACACCUGCCUCCUUCGCCAAACGCCAUAGCUCAUCUUUUCCUCUAUCUUUUUUCGUUUUGCAUGUGUGUCGGUGAAUGGAUAUGGAUCUGGAAGCCACAAAUCGCUCGCUUCGUUGUCGUCCAGCUCAACUGGAAGCCACAAAUCGCUCUCUUGGUUGUGCGAUUCCUGCAGGUGCAGCCCUCUAGUUUCUGCUUCUGCGGCUGCUGCUUAUCUCCUUGGAAGGAGUGAGACUCAGUGAGUCAAGUUUUUGGGUUUUUACGGGAUGGGGGUGUGAAAUUGAGUUUGAAGACUGCAGCUGCUGGGAUGGUGGAAGAGAUGCCGCGUGAGCAGAGAGGGAGAGUCUGGGUGAAAAUCUUUCGCCACAGUAGCAACACCCAUCCAUCCCGAGGCCACGAAGCAGCAUGUAAGUUUCCUGUAUGAGAUUGAAAACCACAGCGGACCGGAGUGCUUUCAAUGUUGUCAGUAACUUCAAAUUGUUCCGGGACUGGUUGCGGUGGUUGAAACUGUGUUUGGCGAGCGAUUUGGAAUGCGGUGACCUUUCAUGGCGGCAGAGAUGGAGAUGGAUCGUCCGUUUGUGUAGAAAUCAAGGACGCUGCCGCCGCCUUCUCCGCCGUUGAGGCCUCCUGAUUGCACUUUUUUUUUCUGGGUUUCAUGGCGAGCUCAAGAAGAUAGGCCUCGCAUGCAAAGACCAGGUUGAGCACUCCCUCGGACUUCAAGAUCUCGUUUUUUAGCUUCGAGAUCUCAUAGUCGGUGAAGGACUUGUGGAAGUGAACGGUCUUAGACAUAACAUUGGCGACCUCGAAGGAAAGAAUGCUGACGGUUUGUUUCUGAGUUUUGGCGGCAGCGGGUUGGGAUUUGGGGACUGAUGAUUUCUUCGAAGGAUGAAGAAUAAGAGUUUGCUUGAGAUUGAAGCUUACCUCGCUACCCAUCUUCAAGAUCUAAGACUCUGCAACCAUUGCUGCAAAGAUCCGAAGCUCAAAGCAACUGGGUCGGGCCACAACUCCGAGAGAAACCCGCUUUCAUGCGUGAAAUCUGGGUACCCUUUUGAGCUUGCGGGCUAUGACGGUGAUUGCAAGGUUCAUGGCUUUCUUUGAUACUCACCAGCUAAAAACCCAAAAAUGAAUUAUCAUCCAUUUUUUUCUUUGACUCUGAUUCUCUGAAACAUUAUUGCAUAUACUGGGUCAAGGUUGAUGACUCAAAUGAUAGUGACCCAGUUGAAGAACAUUAGAAAAACUGCAGAAAAAGGAAGAAAACUGAAAGCAAAAGCAAAAAACAGGUGUCCGAGUAGGACUCAGAGUUGAUGGAAUAAAAGGAGGACGCGGUUUUUUACGGGCGUGAGACUGUGUGUGUGUUCUGGGUUUGGCUUUGGAUCUUGGGUUUUUUUGCAGAUUCACGGUGGUGGUGAAAAAUGAAAGAGAACCGACACAACUUUUGUAUCGAUUCCCACAGACAGCGCCAAAUGUUGAUGCACAAAAUCAGCGAGGACUUUGGUACAACAGAAAGUGUCAGGUUUGUGACCUUCGCUUGGUUGCUUCGAUCACUAGUGAAGAUAAGUACGUAAAUGAAUAGGGACAGGGAAGCAAACACAAGAUGUACGUGGUUCACCCAGAUCGGCUACGUCCACGGAGUAGAGAAGUUCUCAUUAAUUGUGAAGGGUUUACACAAAUACAUAGGUUCAAGCUCUCAUUUUGUGAGUUCUAGUGAAUAGUUUGGUACAAAAUGACAUUAGAGAUUAUUGUGGGAGAAUGAUCCCUAUUUAUAGAAGAGAGUUUCUAGUUUUGUUCUAAUAUUGACACGUGUCGUGUUGUGAUUGGCCUCUGAUGUUGACACGUGUCGCGCUAUGAUUGGCUUCUGAUGUCGACACGUGUCGCAUUGUGAUUGGCCUCCUGGUUGAAGGGAAACUCUUCUGGGUCCUUGACGGUAUAACGUUGACUGGUGCUCAGUAGUUUCGGGAUUAGUCAAGUAUGGUACAAACAAGUGAUUUCGAAUACAUCGAUAAUUAUUUAAUCUUGCGUUUGCUGCAUUAUUUUUCAAUAUGAACCCUAAAAGAUGAAUAUGAAUAUAUAAGUUUAAAUAAUGCAGCAAACGCAAGAUUAAAUAAUUAUCGAUGUCAUCGAAAUCACUACAACAAUGAAAAAUGUGAAGUCUUACCUUAUGUGAAGCUUCAAAAACAUCGAUUUCGUGUUUCAUUCGUCAAAAACAAUUUUUCUCAAUCAACAUGUUUGUAGUUUCAUUGAUUAGAGUUUUGUUCAACAAUGGAGGAUGAGAGGGUUUUGAUAGUUGAGAAGAUAAAGAAUACGCUAAAAGUGAUUUGGGGUGUAUUUAUAAUUUUUUUUAAAAACCUAAUAUGGUCAAAAUUGUCAUUGCAUAGUGGAGUAAAUAAGUCAUUUAAUAUUAAAUUUUAAUAUGGGGUGCAUUCAACAUUUUAUGGGGUGUUAAUAUAAAAAGCCUUACCUUUUCUAUUAUUUUGAAUGAUUAAGUUUAGGGUUUGUAUGUUUUUUUUUUUUUAAUAUUUGUUUUAUAUGUUUUCUUUGUAAAGAUUUAGACAUAAAAUGUAAAAAGGUGGUCAUGUGCCAAUCACAUGACACUUUCUAACAGAAAAUUGGAUGGAGUUAAAGAUACUUAACGGUAGGGGGUUAAUUGGCCACUUUAACAUAGUUUAGGGGGUCAAUUGGCUGAAAAAAUAGUUCAGGGGGGAAAUUGAAACUCACGUGAUAGUUUAGGGGGUUAAAUGACAGUUUACUCUAAUAUAAAAUCAUAUAAAAUAAUUAAAAUAGUAAUUUCUAAGAAAAACAUCUUUCGGAUUCGUAAACCCGUAAAGUUAAUCCCUCAAAUUUUACUCAAUUAUAUCAAUAGUCUUCUAGUACGACUCAUCUUGACGAGAUUUUGACGAAGUUGAUAAAAAAGAUUAUAACUAACGUUUUGAUGAGUUAAGGGAUCGAUGAUCAUAAAUUUUUAGUUGAUGAAUCGUUACUCUAAUUAGACUAAAGUUGAUAUCACAUUCCUACAAUUUUAUCACUGUCUCAAAAGAUGUAUGAGAUUGUAAUUUCAAGCAAAACUAAGGGGUAAAACAAUAUACCCAUAAGCUAAAGAAGAAAAAGUAAUUGGCUUGCUUUGAUGCGUUGAUCUGUCCAAAGUGACUUAACAAAGUUGAAAAAUCCCUAUUUCUCACCUCUUUCUGUUGGAACCGGAUACCCUAAGCAUGGGACCAGAGCCAGUUGAGCAGCCCAUCUGGACCCUUAAAAUUUGAUCCAACAAUUAUAAAUAGAAAGCUUUUCUAAAAGUUAAAAUAAUUACAACCGUUAGAUCAAAUUUUAAAAGUCCAGAUGAGCUGCUCAGCAAGCUUCAGUCCUUAUGCUCAUGAGGGGAUCCGAUUCCUUUCUGUUUCACCUAAACCGCCCAAACCACAUAUAAAUUAAAGAAGAAAAAAAUAAUUGGCAGCUGUGCUUUGACGUAGAGAAUGCUUUGAAUGAUGAUAUAUUCUUCUCUAUAAGAGGAACUUAUAGGUGUACAACCCUAACAUAAAAGGAAAGAAAACUAAUUACAAGUGAUUACAUGGGAUUACAUAUUAAUUAGGGAUCUUACCUAAGAUACAAAAGUCAACACUCCCCCUCAAAUUGGUGCAUAUAUGUCGCUCAUGCCCAACUUGUGUAAGAAACUUGAAAACUUGUGACUCGAAACAGCUUUUGUGAGGAUAUCUGCCAACUGAUCUUCUGUUCUUAUCGCCGGUACUUCAAUUAUUUUCCCUUCCAAUUUUUCUUUGAUGAAGAACCGAUCAACUUCAACAUACUUUGUUCUAUCAUGUUGUACCGGAUUACGUGCAAUGUCACGAGCAGCUUUAUUAUCACAAAAUAAUUUCAUGGACUGAUCAUGUUGUAUACCCAAAUCACUUAACAGAAGCUUAAGCCACAAAAUUUCACAAAUCCCCAAAGCCAUACCUCUGUAUUAUGCUUCUGCACUGGAACGGGCAACCACAUUCUGUUUCUUACUUCUCCAUGUAACCAAGUUACCCCCAACAAACGUAAAGUAACCUGAUGUUGAGCGUCUAUCAUCAAUGGAACCUGCCAAGUCUGCAUCAGUAUAACCUUCAACACUAAAGUGAUUAUUCUUCUUAAACAAAAUUCCUUUGCCCGGACUUCCCUUCAAAUAUCGCAGUAUUCUCGUCACGACAUUCAUAUGUUGUUAUCAGAGAUCAUGCAUGUAUUGACUCACUACACUCAAGGCAUAAGCAAGGUCUGGUCUUGUGUGUGCCAAAUACAUCAAACGACCUACUAACCUUUGGUAUCUUCCUUUGUCAAUUGGUACUUGAUUAGGAUCAACACUAAGCUUCAAUCCUUCUUUUAAUGGUGUAGCUACUGGCUGACAAGCUGACAUGCCAGUUUCGUGCAACAAAUCAAUAAUAUACUUCCUCUGAGACAAGAAAAUUCCAGAACUGCUUCUCGACACCUCGAUCCCUAAAAAAUAUUUCAAGGAUCCAAGGUCCUUCAUUUCAAAUUCUGUAGACAGGUAUCUUUGCAAGCCCGCACGUUCUUCCGGAUCAUUACCUGUUACCAUCAUAUCGUCUACAUACACAAUAAGUGCAGUAAGCUUCCCAUUCUGUCUUUUCAGGAACAAAGUAUGAUCAGAGUUACUUUGUCUGUAACCAAAUGCUCUCAUAGAUUUUGUGAAUCUUCUGAACCAUGCUCGAGGGGACUGCUUCAAGUCAUACAAGGAUUUCUUCAACCUGCACACUUUGCUUUUGUAUUUAUCUGGAGCAUUACAUCCCGGUGGAAGAUCCAUAUAAAUCUCUUCUGUCAAGUCUCCAUGCAAAAAGGCGUUCUUCACAUCAAACUGUUGUAAGGGCCAAUUAAGAUUUGCAGCCAAGGACAACAAAACAUGAAUUGUGUUUAUCUUGGCUACAAGUGCAAAUGUAUCUGUGUAAUCGAUUCCAUAUUUUUGAGUGUAUCCUUUUGCUACCAAUCUUGCCUUGAAAUGAUCCACCAUCCCAUCUGCUUUGUAUUUCACAGCAUAGACCCAUUUGCAUCCCACAUGUUUCUUGCCAGCUGGCAAAUCUGUGAUCUCCCAGGUAGCAUUCUUCUUCAAAGACUUCAACUCUUCAUUCAUUGCUACUUGCCAACGUGGAUCAGUUAAAGCCUCAUGCACACUGUUAGGAAUAGAUACAGUAGAUAAUUGAUGUACAAAUGACUUAUUUAAUUCUGACAGGUGACUGGUAGCCACAUAAUUACUUAACGGGUAUAACACAUUAGACUCAGGGUUGGGCUUACUCACCGGAUACCUAGUUUUACAUUUAAGGACGGCUUCAUAAGUAAGUUUAGGAAUACCUUGGUUGACAUGAUCAGGGAGACGACGUGGUGGUGGUGCAUCCAGGAUCGAAGAUGAUUGAUUAUGGUUAUUGGGACUCAAGAUCGACUGUGAGGUAACUGGCGACACGGAGCUGUCCGGUGGUGAGGAAACUGGCAGUGAGUUAUCUGGCGAUGUUGACUCGUCCCUUUCAAGAUUUUCAACAUUGUUUCCAUGUGAAUGAUCACCACUUGUCUCCAAGACAUUACCACUUAAUUCCAAUUCAUUCACAUCAUUAUUUUCAUGUGAAUGAUCACCACUUAUUUCCAAGACAUCACCACUUAAAUCCAAAUCAUUCACUCUAUCUAUAUCUGGAAUAGUAUAAUCAAGAGUUUGAACUUCUUUCUGAUUCUCCCCCUGAAGUGAAGACUCGGGAUUGGCAAAGUACAUAUCAUUCUCAUGAAACGCAACAUCCAUAGUGACAAACAACUUAUUCGUCGGUGGUUGAUAACAACGGUAUCCUUUCUGCCUGGAUGCAUACCCCACAAACACACAUCGUAAGGCUCGAGGUUCAAGCUUACUUCGAUGUUGUUUAUGAAGAUGAACGAAGGCCACACAACCAAACACAUGAGGUGGAAGAUUAGGGACUGCAGGAGCAUCAACAUGUGAAGAAAGUGCCUGAAGGGGUGUUUGAAAAUCAAUCGAUCGGGAUGAAACACGAUUAAUGAGAUACGCAGCUGAGGUGAGAGUUUCUCCCCAAUAGGAUAACGGGAGACGAGCCUCGAGUAAAGAGGCACGAACAACCUCCAGAAGCUGACGGUUCUUGCGUUCGGCAACCCCAUUUUAUUGUGGAGUAUAUGGACAUGUAGUUUGAUGAACAAUCCCAUGAUGAUCAAGAAAGGCACGAAGUUCAGAGUUAACAUAUUCGCCACCAUUAUCACUCUUGAGAACCUGUAUUUGUGACUUAUAUUGUACUUGUACCAUUUUGUAAAACUGUUGAAACAAAGAAGUAACUUCACCUUUGGAUUUCAUCAAACAAACCUAAGUUAUACGUGUGCAGUCAUCAAUAAAAGUAACGAACCAAUGAGCACCACCAAAUGUAAUAGUUUUACAUGGACCCCAAACAUCAGAAUGAAUUAUCAUAAAUGGAAUAGAACUUUUAUUCAAACUGGAUGGAAACGAAGCACGAUGACUUUUAGCUAGAUCACAAACACCACAAUUAAAGCUAGAAACAUCAUGCUUAACAAAUAGGCUAGGAAACAACCUCCGUAGAUAGCUGAAAGAAGCAUGUCCAAGUCGACGAUGCCACAACCAAACCUCCGAAGCUUUAUUCCUAUCCCCCGGAUUUCCGUCCACUACAAGAGCUUGAGUCAACAUUCGAGAACUGUUUGAUGUCAGCUCCAAGUAGUAAAGCUUCCUUUUCCUAAUACCAUAACCAAUCGUCUUGCGAGUCCGAAUGUCCUUAAAAACACAAAAAAGGCCAAAAAAUCACAAGACAAUGCAGAACGACAGUUAUUUGAGCAACAGAUAAUAAAUUAUAGUCGAGAGAAGGCACAACAAGUACGGUAUCAAGACUAAGGGUAUCUGAAAGGGAGACGGUUCCUUCCCCGAUAACAGGGGCAGGAUUACCAUUGGCGACACUGACGACAGUUUUGGUGGAUGGUUUUAGGGUUUCUACCUGUCUAGAAUCACAAGUCAUAUGUUCAGUAGCACCAGAAUCAAUUAUCCAUGUAUUAUUCAUAACAAAGGUAGAAACCUUUAAAACUUUACCAUUGUUACCUGUAUUAGCAGAAUCACAAGUCCAGACUGUCAUUCCCAAGCAACUUCAAUCAAUACGUCACUCGAUGAUUGAUAAAGCCCAAAUUUCCAAGCAAACCAAGCCCAAGAAGUGCCAAUUUUCAACAAGAAUGAUAGCCCAACAACAAUUACAAAUAAUAAUAAUCUAAAAAAAAAACCACAAUUUUUUCUUUGCCGUGUGGGCCUUAAUCAAAUAGCCCAAUUUUUCUUUUUUUUCAACACUACCAAUUCUGAUUCCCCUUUUCCUUCUUCCCUUUUCUAUUUGUUCUUUUUUUUUUCCUUUAUUCUCUCCCUCCUUUCUACGUGGUCUGCUCUAGAAAGAACCUGCAAAACACGAGUGCAGAAACAAGGUGCAACUGUGCGAGUGCAAGAACAAGGUCCAGAUGCAAACGGGUUAGACUGCAGCAACGUAGGGCAACAGCGGCUACAAAUCUGGGUGCAGAUGUGGAUGCAAGCGGGUUCGAUCGAGGUCUGGUUUAUGGUGUAGCGGGUUUGCGGGUCAGAAACAGUGGUUGUGCGGUGGUAGUCUGUGCAGCAAUGCAACAAGAAUGUGAUGAGCAGCGGGCAUGCAAUCCUGGGUCAGUCGGACCUUGAGUCGGGUACGGCGCAGCAACACAAGUCCGUUGGGUUGCAAUCUGUGCAAUCCUUCACGACUUCAUAUCAAAUCAGAAAGUGAAACGAUUCGAUAAAUUCGGGUCAGCAACGAUGGCGUCGCUCGCUGUUCGAGGUCGGCGCACCACACACGACUGAGCGGCAACAGUGCUAUCGCAACUAUAGGGUUUUUUUUUUCUUUUUUUCAACUUGGCUCUGAUGCCAAGAAGAGAAUGCUUUGAAUGAUGAUAUAUUCUUCUCUGUAAGAGGAACUUAAAGGUGUACAACCCUAACAUAAAAGGAAAGAAAACUAAUUACAAGUGAUUACAUGGGAUUACAUAUCAAUUAGGGAUCCUACCUAAAAUACAAAAGUCAACAGAAUCUUUGUCCAAGACUAACAAAAGUUAAAAAUUAGCCUAUUUCUCUCCCAUUUCACUUUCACCUAAUACACGUAAACCAACUAGAAAUUUCCUCCUCUCACACGAAGCUAGCCUCUCUCUACCUCCCUUUUUAUGUUGAUUGGCUUGGAGUUUUUUCUAAUGCUAUUUGAUCAUGGGGAACCCAAAAUCAUCCCUAGACAAGUUUUCUGGUCAUUCUGGGAAAUGUCUAGUUUUGCUUUUCUGAGGCUUUUGAAAGGAUGUUUGGUUGCAAAGAAUAAUGUUCAAUUUUGUGUUUGUGAGUUUGCAUGGGAUAAUGUAACAUAUAUAAUAUAGAUUCAAAAGAAGACUUUCUUUGCCACAUGUUGAACAUAAUAUAUUAGUAAACGACAGUGAGUUGUAGAAACUGGAAAAUUUAAUAUUAAUAGCAGCAAUAGCAUUUAGCAAGUAUUGUUCUUUAUUAUAAGAAUAAUAACACAAGUUGCAUAUGAGUUGAAUCGACAUAACCUAAUUCCAAAUAUAUUGUACAUCCACUUGGAUAAGUUUCCCAAGAACCCUACUCUAUCCCAAAAGUUAUUUCACCAGAGACCUUUCACUAUUGAUUUCUCCCAACCGUGCCCACAGGAAAGGCCAAAUGCUCUAGCCAUCUUUUUGGGUGCUUCCCUGAUGCCUGCGUUCUCCCUCGACUAGCAUACCACAAUGCAAGCAUUUCCUUGCAUUAAAAAAAAAGAACUUUAAUGAGAAGCUCCCGGUACUGUUUACUUUAACGAAAAACCACAUUUUUACACUAAAAAGUCAAUCCUGGUACUAUUCACUUUACCCUUUAUUUUGUCCUUAUCGUUAAAACUCAAAGUUUUCAAGCUCUUUUCAUUAGUUUUCCUUUAAAAAAAACGCCAAUGACAUCAAUCACCUUUCAUCCACUAGCUUCUCUAGUCAAAUGCUCCCAAAGUCAAAAAAGCAAGUCUACUCUUGCUUUUCUUUUGUAACACUUCAUAUGGUCUGCAUCUUUCAAUGCAUCCCACCGAAAGGUGACCUCUCCACUGACAGCGACCAUACUGUUCAAUUGUUGCCAGCUCAGUAUUAUAUGAACCAAUCACAAUGUACAUAUCGAGAAAGGAUGGAUCCUCUUUGUGAGUAUUUCAGGAAGAACCUUCAAUUACAUUCGUUCAUCGUGUAUCGUAUGAUCAUUUUUUAUUAAGUACUGUUUAUAUUCAAUUUUAAAUAAAAAAAUUAUAAUGAUUUUUAACCACACGAUAUAUAAUGAAUGGAUGUGAUUAGAGAAUCUCCGGAAUUUUCACAACCGGAUAAUACAACGACACAACAAAUCUUAAAAAAAAAAAGAUAUGGCAAUUAAAAUGUAAUAAUAUUAAAUAUAUAAAAAAAUAAUAAUGCAAAUUCAUAAUAUAACAAAGAAGGUUUGGUUCUAGUUUGUGAGGUCUUUGAGGAACUGUCGUCAGUUCAAUAAAUUUAACAAAGUGUGCACUAUUGGUUUCUGCCAAUAAUUUUUAUAAAUUUCUUUUGUUAAGCUGAUGAUAUGGCAUACAAGUAGAUCUCACGUAUCAAUUCUAAAUGUUUGUUGAGGACCAAAUCUAAAUUAGGGUCAAAGUUUAGGGACUAAUUCUAAUUGUGCAUUCUAUGUUAUUUUACAUACAAUUGACGAAAAUCUCACGGAAAGUCCAAUAGUGCACAUUUGCUAAAUUCUAAGACCUCAAUUAAUGAACUUUUUGUUUAGGGACUUAAUCUAAAUUUGAGUGAAAAUUUAAGUACCACUUCUAAAUCUAAGAUAAAUGGAUAUACAAAUUAAUGUCAACUGAGGUUGUCAAUGUCAAAUUUUAUUUUAAUUUAUACCUCAUUUUCUUUGUGACACCUUGUCCUGAAAUAUUUUAUCGAUGGUGUGAAAUGACUUUAUUACCCUUGGACGUUAGAUGUUGUGUGACAUGCACUUUGGUUGUGGACUAAAUAUGUUAAGUUCUAAUUGUUUGGACCCAAUUAGAACUAAGUUUUUCUUUGUUUUUGGUUGGUAGCCCAAGUUGGACCUGACACACACACCCAUACCAAUCUCGUUGACUAUCUCUCUCCUCUUUCAGAUUUUCUUCCAUUUUCCGUACAACCCGUACGGUCAUCAUCCAACCAACUCCAUCUCUCACAGAUCAAGUUCGUGGAGAUCAUUUUUGAGUUCCUUGCAAGCUCAGGAGUAGAGCUAUACCAUUUGUUUGGAGGAAGAACCUCAAAAACCCGAGAAACCAGGAAACCCCCGAAAAGGUGCACAGUAGCUCAGUCAUGAUCACAAAGAAUUCAUUGAUUUUUAAGGUCCUAGGGAGCCUUAGAACUUGUUGACGAAGCUUAAGGAAGGAUUUUGAAGUAUUUUGGACGUUUGGAAGCUCGGGUUUGACAAGUUGCAGAGGUGGCCGGAUUAUCGUGACUUUUUCGGCAAGAUCCCGUGAGUUUUAGGACCUAAAACUGGUAAGAUUUUGUUCCUCUUAUCAUAAGCUUCAUUUUGGUAUAAAAUUUGUGAAUUUUGGUUAAGAAUUAAAGAAGAUAUGACGAUUAGAACUUUUUCCCAGUUUCCGGCGAUGGCGACGGAAUUUGGUGACUUGCCGAAGAAAAAGGCGAAUAUUCCGUCAAAGUUGACAGAAUAUUCUAACGGCGUUAGGUAUCUUUAACAGCAUAUUCUAUAUUUUAACGGAAUAUUCCCUAACAACGUUAACUAUUCCGUUUGGUGUGCCAGGCACGUGCCUGCAUGUGGCCGCGCGUGUGGUUGUGCCUUGGCCGGCGCGUGACGACACGUGGGUAAUCGGAAAAUUUUUCUAAAAAUAUGGGGAUGUUCAUGGGGUUGAGUAGAUCACGUUGGUAUAUUCAAACACUCCAAUUGAGCAAUGUAUGAGAAGUUAUUACCUAGUUUUGUUUAUGUGCUUUAAAAUAACGUUUAUAUAGUUGUUUCGCAUAUAGGUGAGACCUAUCCAGAGGAAGAGCGCAGUCAAGCGAGACUCGAGGGUUAUGACCCUUCCACAUAUCAGUGAGUGGGUUUUUGGUUUUCAGUAUAUACUUAUAUACUUGGUAUUUUUCCCAGAAAAUGUGUUUAAAUGAAAUUAUGUUUAAAAUGCCAUGCCUAUUGAUUUAUACUUAGACUAUGAAUUUGUAUUUUCCCAGAAAAUGUGUUUAAAUGAAAUUAUGUUUAAAAUGCCAUGCCUAUUGAUUUAUACUUAGACUAUGAAUUUGUAUGGUAUGUACAUAUGUGAUUUGACGCGGUGGAUGCUCAGGUAAAUACCAGGUGAGUUGUAGAUUUUUAUUGUGAAUUGAUGAUUAUAUGAGAUGUGUUGAGAGCUCAUAAACUUGCACCCCGGUGUUAGUGCUCCCGCCCGUGGUUAGGGCACAGUCCUUCAUGUGAUGUUCACCUCCCGCACCAUACGCUCACCUUGGAUCCAAGUUAGGUGCACAGUCCUGUUGUACAGACCACUAUAAGUGGUUCCGACUCGUAGGUGACCCACGAUUAUUCGCACAGUCUUCACGUGAUUGUAGCACUAGAGCGUAUUUAUUUACACCCAGUCCUGUCAUACAGACCACUAUAGGUGGUUCCGACUUGUGUGCAGGCAUACUUAUUGAGCUAUAGAUUCAGCCGUACAAGCCACUUUAGGUGGAUCCAGCUAAUAUGUUAUUUCUCAUGAGUUAAUUCACCUAAGUUACUUAUUCAGUUAUUUUGAGAUAUUUGGCAUGGCAUACUUAUGAUUAUCGCUAUUCUAAGCAUGGUUUUGAUAUAGAUAUGAAUAUAUGCUAUUUUAUGGGAAAUUAUACAGGUUUUACAGCGAGAGGUUAGAACUUUUGAUAAAUGAAAUGGUUUUGAAAAGCUUUGUUUUUGCCCACUCACACUUUCUGUUUUGCGCCCCUCUAGGUUUUAGGUAUGAGUGCUUGUUGGUGGCUUACGAGGAUUUGACGAAGGUUCUGACAGAUUAUCACCAAUGUAAGAUCAUCUUUGGGUGUUGUAUAAUUAAUAUUCGUCUUGUUGGACUGCACUUAGGCUACUUAUGCUCUGGUUGUGCAAUCACACUUAAUAUCGCACUUGCACCUUAUCUUAUCUACUACUCUAGUUUGUUUGGUUUUAUUUAUUCGCAUUUCUUAUAUUAAUAUUGUUUUCACACUGUGCACAUGGCUACGUCACCCUCACAUGACGGCCAGCAUACCUCGAUCUAAUAAUAUAUUUUCAUUGUGUCUUAUUUCUCCACCAACCAUUUAAUAAAAAUGUUAAUAAUAUAUUUAUCUUUUUAAAAGAAGAUUUUUAAACUCCUAUUUAACUAAUUACAAAAAUUUUGAAACAAAACAAAACAUAAUUUAAAAUAAUAAAUAAAUGUUGGUGGGUGGGGUGUGUGAUAUCUGUGGUGGAGAGAGAGGCUGGAAAAGAUUUUAGCUACGAUCAAAGGAGGAAUGGGUGUGUGCUAGACGAAGAUGAUAAAAAGUGAGAUCUACGACUUUGACAGAAAAGAAAGAAAAAGAGUGGUGUGGGGCCCAUAUAUUAAAGAAGAAAAAAGAAUUGGUAGCAUGUGCUUUGAUACAUUGAAUCAAGUCCAAUCGGACGAGAAAUUUUUAGUUUUUACGGGAAUACGGAUGGUAAAUUACGUGUUUUUAUGUAAAUGGUGAAAUUUUUUAAUUUUGAAGUUAUUAAUCUUUUAACACACAUAUCCCACCAUUCAUAUAGAGACAUAUGAAGUACCACCUUGUGUGAUGGUCACAUUGAAAAAUCUUCCCAAUCGACUAUCAAACGUCAACAAAAGCAUCUUUCUCUCUUAUUUUAGUUUCUCACCUAACACACCUUAAACCAAUUUGAAAUUUCGCCGCUUCUUACACAAGGCUAGCCUCACUCUACCUUGAUUGGUUUGAUAUUUCUUCGUUUAAAGAAAAACGAAAAAGAAGUUGUCGAAUAGUAAAGGACACUAACACAAAAUUAAACAUACUCACCGUGUCAUCAAUCAUUCAAUUACACAAAGCAAAGAAUGCCAGCACGAAACAUCCUCAAAUCCUUCUUGGAUACUAUAUAUGAUACAUUUCCCACCAAUUCCAUCACUUUCAAAGAUGAUGCUCCAACUACUUUCGGCGUCUUCUUUUUCUACUUUUUUUUUAACUAUAUAUGAUACCCUUCCCACCAACUCCGUCACCACUCUCUCAUUUCCCCUUGUCUCCAUCAGAUCCUCUUUGUUCUCUAUCCUUCACAUUGCUUUCUCUCUCUGCUGCUCUCACCUCGACCUCUCUUCCUUUCCUUCCUCGCUCCGCCAGCCAACCAUUUGAGAUCAUCCACCUCUUCGAAAGUGUGGGAGAAGAGGAGGGAGGUGCAGAAUAGAUUAGAGACUGAAGUUUUAGGCUUCAGUUUUUAUAUUUCCAAAUUGCCCCAAAGAUUUCAAGAUAUCAAAAUCUGCCUCAAAAUAAUUCAACCCGUGUCGGAGGUGUGUCCAACCCAUUGACCGGUGUCUUGACCGUGUCCAACCCGUGUCAGGGGCAUAUCGUCGGCGUGUCGAAGUGUCACUUAUGUGCUUAGAGCUGAUUGCUUGGAACACUUCCGAUUUGCGUUGAGCAGCCAAAUGGCCCGGGAUUCUGCUCCUGCAGUUUUUCCAUGGAAAUACCAUGUGUUUCUGAGUUUCAGAGGUGAAGACACCCGCCGGGGUUUUACAGAUCAUUUAUACAAACAGUUGGAGGCGCGAGGAAUCAAGACUUUCAGGGACGAACCAGAACUUGAACGAGGGACAGAUAUCAAUCCAGAGCUCCUGAAGGCAAUUGAGCAAUCAAGGUCUGCAAUCAUAGUUCUUUCGACAAACUUUGCUUCUUCAAGUUGGUGUUUGCGAGAACUUACUCAUAUUGUUCGUUGCAUGGAAGAGAAAAAGAGAAUUUUUCCCAUUUUUUAUGGCGUGGAACCUUCUGAUGUACGCCAUCAACGAGGGAGUUUUGGCGAAGCCUUUGCGGAACAUGAAGUAAAUUAUCGAGAACACAUGGAGGAGGUAAAUGAGUGGAGAAAGUCGUUAGAAAGGGUGGCUAAUCUCGCUGGGUGGAAUUCAAAGGAUU